RNAcentral lists this ribosomal RNA (468 nucleotides) under uncultured bacterium. Its description in RNAcentral is "partial 16S ribosomal RNA". It matches the Rfam family "Bacterial small subunit ribosomal RNA", at positions 28 to 507 of the family's 1533-position model. The record is from RNAcentral.
GACGAACGCUGGCGGCGUGCUUAACACAUGCAAGUCGAACGGAAAGGCCCUGCUUUUGUGGGGUGCUCGAGUGGCGAACGGGUGAGUAACACGUGAGUAACCUGCCCUUGACCUUGGGAUAACUUCAGGAAACUGGGGCUAAUACCGGAUAGGAGCUCCUGCUGCAUGGUGGGGGUUGGAAAGUUUCGGCGGUUGGGGAUGGACCCGCGGCUUAUCAGCUUGUUGGUGGGGUAGUGGCUUACCAAGGCUUUGACGGGUAGCCGGCCUGAGAGGGUGACCGGCCACAUUGGGACUGAGAUACGGCCCAGACUCCUACGGGAGGCAGCAGUGGGGAAUAUUGCACAAUGGGCGGAAGCCUGAUGCAGCAACGCCGCGUGCGGGAUGACGGCCUUCGGGUUGUAAACCGCUUUCGCCUGUGACGAAGCGUGAGUGACGGUAAUGGGUAAAGAAGCACCGGCUAACUACGUG